GAAUCCGGAUAUAGACUGGCUCCAAUGCGGAUACCGGACACCGGAUGGGAAACAAAAAAAAAAUAUGUAACCCUGCAAAUUACCAUUCAAAGAAACUACAUUUAUGUGUUCCACUAUCAAAUCCUAUUUUAUGUGGCAAACUUUAUUUUUAGUCAACAACAACAAACCCAGUGAAACCACACAAGUGGGGUCAGGGAAGGGUAGUGUGUACGCACACCUUGCCCAUAUCUUAUGAAGGUAGAGAGGUUGUUUCUGGUAGUGUGUACGCAGACGUUACCCCUACCUUAUGAAGAUAGAGAAGCGAUUUCCGGUAGACCCUCGGCUCAAGAACAGAAAACUUUUCUAUAUAGAAACAAUUCAACUUUAGACUUUCUAUUUACCCUUACCGAGGAUUUAUAUCCAUACAAAUGUCUCUAACUUAAUUUAGACCACAAACUUCAAGAUUCCGUCUUUCUUUCUUACACUUCGUGUUCAAUCAAACAAUGUCAUACAAAUUGAGAAGGAGGGAGUAGAACUUAUAUAUAUAUACAAACCUGAAGAAGCAACUUGGGUAAUUCUAGUGCUAUGAAUUGGUCUUUGUUUGGAGGCCUAAUACAUUAUAAACAAACAAAAAACAUAAGCUUACAACUAAAAUGAAACAGUAUAGCAAAAAUGGGAAGAAAACAGAAUUAAAGAAAUGGGGAAUGUACCAAGAAUAGAAAACCAGAGUCUGCAACACUACAAGCCAUGUCAAAUUAUAGAGCAGAUUUUGUAAUUCAAGAAUUCACAAAAUUAAAAACCCCACUUAGCUAGUAUGAUUCUUUAGCCCUUUUUUUUCUCACCCCUUACCAAAAUAACCAAUAAAAAUUGGUUCUUUGAAGAUAAAGGGUGAAGGGUAGAGAAAAGACCAAGAACUUUAUUUGUGUUGCAGUAGUAGCCUAAGGAGGUAAAAAAAUUCACAUGGGAAUAUU
This 950-nucleotide long non-coding RNA is filed under the name Nicotiana tabacum (common tobacco). Its description in RNAcentral is "long non-coding RNA (NTAB_LNC001753)". The record is from RNAcentral. Lineage: Eukaryota; Viridiplantae; Streptophyta; Magnoliopsida; Solanales; Solanaceae.